UACGGGGGGGGCUAGCGUUGUUCGGAAUUACUGGGCGUAAAGGGCUCGUAGGUGGCCAACUAAGUCGGACGUGAAAUCCCUCGGCUUAACCGGGGAACUGCGUCCGAUACUGGAUGGCUCGAAUCCGGGAGAGGGAUGCGGACUUCCAGGUGUAGCGGUGAAAUGCGUAGAUGUCUGGAGGAAUACCGGUGGCGAAGGCGGCAUCCUGGACCGGCAUUGACGCUGAGGAGCGAAAGCCAGGGGAG
This 245-nucleotide ribosomal RNA is filed under the name uncultured bacterium. Its description in RNAcentral is "partial 16S ribosomal RNA". It matches the Rfam family "Bacterial small subunit ribosomal RNA", at positions 524 to 768 of the family's 1533-position model. The record is from RNAcentral.